GAUGAACGCUAGCGGCAGGCCUAAAACAUGCAAGUCGAGGGGUAGAAGAGGCUUGCUUCUUUGAGACCGGCGCACGGGUGCGUAACGCGUAUGCAACCUACCUUCAUCUGGGGGAUAGCCCGGAGAAAUCCGGAUUAAUACCGCAUAAAAUCACAGGAUGGCAUUAUCCAAUGAUAAAACAUCUAUGGGAUGGAGAUGGGCAUGCAUGUCAUUAGCUAGUUGGCGGGGUAACGGCCCACCAAGGCGACGAUGACUAGGGGAUCUGAGAGGAUGGCCCCCCACACUGGUACUGAGACACGGACCAGACUCCUACGGGAGGCAGCAGUAAGGAAUAUUGGUCAAUGGAGGCAACUCUGAACCAGCCAUGCCGAGUGCAGGAAGACUGCCCUAUGGGUUGUAAACUGCUUUUAUUCGGGAAUAAACCUUAUUACGUGUAAUAAGCUGAAUGUACCGAAGGAAUAAGGAUCGGCUAACUCCGUGCCAGCCGCCGCUGUAA
This 496-nucleotide ribosomal RNA is filed under the name uncultured bacterium. RNAcentral describes it as "partial 16S ribosomal RNA". It matches the Rfam family "Bacterial small subunit ribosomal RNA", at positions 28 to 523 of the family's 1533-position model. The record is from RNAcentral.